AGUUCGGAUUGUAGGCUGCAACUCGCCUACAUGAAGUUGGAAUCGCUAGUAAUCGCGAAUCAGAAUGUCGCGGUGAAUACGUUCCCGGGUCUUGUACACACCGCCCGUCACACCACGAGAGUUUACAACACCCGAAGUCAGUGGCCUAACCGCAAGGAGGGAGCUGCCUAAGGUGGGGUAGAUGAUUGGGGUGAAGUCGUAACAAGGUAUC
Molecule: ribosomal RNA, 211 nt
Filed under: uncultured bacterium
Lineage: Bacteria
Description: partial 16S ribosomal RNA
Rfam family: Bacterial small subunit ribosomal RNA
Source: RNAcentral